UGCAAAGUAGGAGGAGGGGCUUGU
Molecule: non-coding RNA, 24 nt
Filed under: Rattus norvegicus (Norway rat)
Lineage: Eukaryota; Metazoa; Chordata; Mammalia; Rodentia; Muridae
Source: RNAcentral